Molecule: microRNA precursor, 92 nt
Organism: Otolemur garnettii (small-eared galago)
Lineage: Eukaryota; Metazoa; Chordata; Mammalia; Primates; Galagidae
Source: Ensembl
UGUACCACCUUGUCGGGUAGCUUAUCAGACUGAUGUUGACUGUUGAAUCUCAUGGCAACAGCAGUCGAUGGGCUGUCUGACAUUUUGGUAUC